UACGGAAGGCAGCAGUGGGGAAUAUUGCACAAUAGGCGCAAGCCUGAUGCAGCCAUGCCGCGUGUAUGAAAAAGGCCUUCGGGUUGUAAAGUACUUUCAGUCGUGAGGAAGGUGUUAAGGUUAAUAACCUUAGCAAUUGACGUUAGCGACAGAAGAAGCACCGGCUAACUCCGUGCCAGCAGCCGCGGUAAUACGGAGGGUGCGAGCGUUAAUCGGAAUUACUGGGCGUAAAGGGCACGCAGGCGGUUAAUUAAGUUGGAUGUGAAAUCCCCGGGCUUAACCUGGGAAUGGCAUUCAAGACUGGUUAGCUAGAGUCUUGUAGAGGGGGUAGAAUUCCAUGUGUAGCGGUGAAAUGCGUAGAGAUGUGGAGGAAUACCGGUGGCGAAGGCGGCCCCUGGACAAAGACUGACGCUCAUGUGCGAAAGCGUGGGGAGCAAACAGGGAUUAGAUACC
Molecule: ribosomal RNA, 453 nt
Filed under: uncultured bacterium
Lineage: Bacteria
Description: bacterial SSU rRNA
Rfam family: Bacterial small subunit ribosomal RNA
Source: RNAcentral